RNAcentral lists this ribosomal RNA (427 nucleotides) under uncultured bacterium. RNAcentral describes it as "bacterial SSU rRNA". It matches the Rfam family "Bacterial small subunit ribosomal RNA", at positions 64 to 507 of the family's 1533-position model. The record is from RNAcentral.
GAACGAGAAAGUGGAGCAAUCCAUGAGUAAAGUGGCGACCGGNGUGAGUAACACGUGACUAACCUACCCUAGAGCGGGGGAUAACCUCGGGAAACCGGGGCUAAUACCGCAUAACAUCGCGAGGGGAAGUUCCUUGCGAUCAAAGGAGCAAUCCGCUCCAGGAGGGGGUCGCGGCUGAUUAGCUAGUUGGUGAGGUAACGGCUCACCAAGGCGAAGAUCAGUAGCCGGCCUGAGAGGGCGCACGGCCACACUGGAACUGAAACACGGUCCAGACUCCUACGGGAGGCAGCAGUGGGGAAUCUUGGACAAUGGGGGAAACCCUGAUCCAGCCAUGCCGCGUGAGUGAAGAAGGCCUUCGGGUUGUAAAGCUCUUUCGGCGGGGACGAUGAUGACGGUACCCGCAGAAGAAGCCCCGGCUAACUUCGUG